UACACAAAUAUGAAGGCGGGCUGGAACCUCUCGGGGUUACAGCCUUGCUGAAUUAUUCACCCUUGUCUUUUGCGUACUUCUUGUUUCCUUGGUGGGUUCGCCCACCACUAGGACAAACAUAAACCUUUUGUAAUUGCAAUCAGCGUCAGUAACAAAUUAAUAAUUACAACUUUCAACAACGGAUCUCUUGGUUCUGGCAUCGAUGAAGAACGCAGCGAAAUGCGAUAAGUAGUGUGAAUUGCAGAAUUCAGUGAAUCAUCGAAUCUUUGAACGCACAUUGCGCCCUUUGGUAUUCCAAAGGGCAUGCCUGUUCGAGCGUCAUUUGUACCCUCAAGCUUUGCUUGGUGUUGGGCGUCUUGUCUCUAGCUUUGCUGGAGACUCGCCUUAAAGUAAUUGGCAGCCGGCCUACUGGUUUCGGAGCGCAGCACAAGUCGCACUCUCUAUCAGCAAAGGUCUAGCAUCCAUUAAGCCUUUUUUUCAACUUUUGACCUC
RNAcentral lists this unclassified non-coding RNA (492 nucleotides) under Sebacinales sp. 9 CG-2012. RNAcentral's name for it is "sequence contains ITS1, 5.8S rRNA gene, ITS2". The stretch from base 168 to 321 matches the Rfam family "5.8S ribosomal RNA". Lineage: Eukaryota; Fungi; Basidiomycota; Agaricomycetes; Sebacinales. The record is from RNAcentral.